UACGUAGGGUGCGAGCGUUAAUCGGAAUUACUGGGCGUAAAGCGUGCGCAGGCGGUCCGCAAAGUCUGAUGUGAAAGCCCCGGGCUCAACCUGGGAACUGCAUUGGUGACUGGCAGGCUUUGAGUGUGGCAGAGGGAGGUAGAAUUCCACGUGUAGCAGUGAAAUGCGUAGAGAUGUGGAGGAAUACCGAUGGCGAAGGCAGCCUCCUGGGCCAACACUGACGCUCAUGCACGAAAGCGUGGGGAGCAAACAGG
Molecule: ribosomal RNA, 254 nt
Filed under: uncultured bacterium
Lineage: Bacteria
Description: partial 16S ribosomal RNA
Rfam family: Bacterial small subunit ribosomal RNA
Source: RNAcentral